UACGAAGGGUGCAAACGUUGCUCGGAAUUAUUGGGCGUAAAGGGCGCGUAGGCGGCAUGGCAAGUGGAUGGUGAAAUCCCUCGGCUUAACCGAGGAACUGCCGUCCAAACUGCUUCGCUUGAGACCGGGAGAGGUGAGUGGAAUUCCCAGUGUAGCGGUGAAAUGCGUAGAUAUUGGGAGGAACACCAGUGGCGAAGGCGGCUCGCUGGACCGGUACUGACGCUGAUGCGCGAAAGCGUGGGGAGCAAACGGG
Molecule: ribosomal RNA, 253 nt
Filed under: uncultured bacterium
Lineage: Bacteria
Description: partial 16S ribosomal RNA
Rfam family: Bacterial small subunit ribosomal RNA
Source: RNAcentral